RNAcentral lists this transfer RNA (85 nucleotides) under Paenibacillus rigui. Its description in RNAcentral is "Paenibacillus sp. WPCB173 tRNA". It matches the Rfam family "tRNA". Rfam says of the family: Transfer RNA (tRNA) molecules are approximately 80 nucleotides in length. The record is from Rfam by way of RNAcentral. Lineage: Bacteria; Bacillati; Bacillota; Bacilli; Caryophanales; Paenibacillaceae. RNAcentral also lists the same sequence under 1 other name.
GCCGGAGUGGCGGAAUGGCAGACGCACUGGACUUAAAAUCCAGCGGUAGGUGACUACCGUACCGGUUCGAGUCCGGUCUUCGGCA